RNAcentral lists this ribosomal RNA (408 nucleotides) under uncultured Methylomirabilota bacterium. RNAcentral's name for it is "bacterial SSU rRNA". It matches the Rfam family "Bacterial small subunit ribosomal RNA", at positions 1027 to 1434 of the family's 1533-position model. The record is from RNAcentral. Lineage: Bacteria; Methylomirabilota (SeqCode).
CGUGGAGACAGGUGGUGCAUGGCUGUCGUCAGCUCGUGUCGUGAGAUGUUGAGUUAAGUCCCGCAACGAGCGCAACCCUCACCCCUAGUUGCCACCGGGUUAAGCCGAGCACUCAAGGGGAACUGCCAGCGUCAAGCUGGAGGAAGGCGGGGAUGACGUCAAGUCAUCAUGCCCCUUACGCCCUGGGCUACACACGUGCUACAAUGGCCAGUACGAAGGGACGCGAGACUGCGAAGUGGAGCUAAUCCCAAAAAGCUGGUCUAAGUUCAGAUUGCAGUCUGCAACUCGACUGUAUGAAGGAGGAAUCGCUAGUAAUCGCGUAUCAGCCCGGCGCGGUGAAUACGUUCCCGGGCCUUGUACACACCGCCCGUCACACCACGAAAGCUGUCUGUACUCGAAGUCGCUGAG